Molecule: long non-coding RNA, 2759 nt
Organism: Lycium barbarum (goji berry)
Lineage: Eukaryota; Viridiplantae; Streptophyta; Magnoliopsida; Solanales; Solanaceae
Exons: 2
Source: RefSeq, a predicted model, not a curated record
AUUAUCACGUGUCAAAUUAAUUUUAUAAUAGUCACAAAAAUGAGUUCAAUUUUCUUUCUCUUCACACUUCUCUUUAUCACUUACACUGAUGCAGCUACUAUUUUGGUACGUAACAACUGUUCUUACCCAGUAUGGGCUGCCGGUGUCCCGGUUGGAGGCGGCAAACGCCUCGACUGUGACCAAACAUGGACGAUAAACGCCCCUCGCGGGGGACCAAACAAGCCCGUGUUUGGGCCCGAACGGGCUGCAAUUUCGAUGCAUCCAGCAAGGGAAAAUGCCAAGCAGAAGAUUGUAACGGUGUUCUUGAAUGUAAAUCCUUUGAAGUACCCCAAAAUACACUAGCUGAAUAUGCCCUAAACCAAUUUGCGGACAAAUUUUGUAACACCUCGUACAUCAUAUUUAAAUUACGUUCAUGAUUCAAGACUUAGAAACCAAGACGGGAAGUGUUUAGAAUUAGAAAAUUUGUCCGAGAACGGUAAUUGUACGGGCCGUACUUUUAGGGCGUAUAUUUCAUGGGAAAAUCAGAAGUCACUGGAAUUUGCCAAUCAAGGUGCGGGAUAGAUGUACAGGGCGUACAUCAAUGUACGAGAUGUACUUUUGUCUCGUACAAGUCAUGCGAAAAAUCACCGUCACUGGAUUUUGACAAUCCAAGUAUGGGCUACAAGUGCGGCCCGUACAAUUGACGUACGGGACGUACAUUACAAAAAAAUGGGUAAUUUGUGGAGGUUGAAAGUUGCAAUUCGCGAAGGUUUCAACCUCCACUAUUUGUUAAAGGAGGCUAAAACCUCCGCGAAUUGCAACUUUCAACCUCCGGAAAUUAGCUUCUUUUUUUUGUAGUGAUACUUUGAGCCCGUAUUUUCCCUGCUUCAGCAAAUAGUAUAAAUACGUGGGUUCAGUUUUUAUUUCCACUUUUCACAAUCUCAAGCCCUAGCACGAAGUUCUCCUAUUCCCACCAUUAGAAUACAUCAAGGGUUUUCAAGAAAACCCAUCUAAAGGAUUCAAGACUAAGGAUUUAGGAUUCUUCUCAAGUUCAGAUCAUUGGUUACAAGUUUUGGAGCAUUAACAGGUAUGUAGGGUUUCUAUAUACGUGUGGGAAUAUCAUUAUUCUUCCCCACACUGCGUUCUUCCAUGAUUAUAUGAAGUUCACCCGAAACUAGGGUUGUAGACACGUUUAUGAUUGCCCUAAGCUCAUGUACCCUGAUAUACCAUGUUUAUAUUGAUUAUUCGUUAUUGUAUUCUUGAGAAUAUAUCCGUAAUCCAUGAAAACCCAAACCAUGGGUUCGUAAAUGCAAGAUAUGAACUUUUAUGUUUAUUUUCAUGAACUUCUACAUGCUUUCAUGUUCUCAUACAAGUUAUACUAUAUAUAUAUUCAUGUUAUAAUACAAUGAAGAAUCAUGUUUAUAUAAUUCAUGGGCUACUAAGACAUUUAUAUCCAUGUUCAUGUUUUGUGAGUUGCACAGAUUACCGAGAAGGCUCAGACGUCCUGAAACUAUGUAUGCCAGUGUAGGAUAAGGAUCGCUCUUCCCAGUUAGGACGAUUCCUUCAUGACGUCGCAUUCUUACGUGGUGGAUACAUGUCGGUUAUACUAAGGCUCUCCCACUUAAAUAACAUUUUACUCAUGUUAUCUGUUUACUCAUGUCAGAUAUGCUCAUGUUCAUGCUCAGCUUACAGUUUCAGUGUCAGUUCUAUUAUUUCAUGUGUCAUGCGUUAUUUCAUUCAGUUGCUUUACACACCAGUACAAUUCAAGUGUACUGACGUCCCCUUUAUUUUCCUAGGGGCCUGCAUUUCAUGAUGCAAAUUUACAGGAUGACUGAUCGGCACGUUGGGACUUGCUCGUAUCAGCUUUUGAUGAGCCCCAUUCUAUUCGGGGUGUUAUCCUUAUUUAUGUUUAUUUCAGUUAUGCAGUUAAGGUAUGCCGGGGGCCUUGUCUCGGUAAACAGUUUAACAGUCGACUCAUGUCAAAGGUUUCAUAGACUAGUCAGUUAUGUUAUGUUAGAUAUUCAGAGUCGUAUAGCCAUUUUGGCUCAGCAUUAUCAUGUUUAUUCAGAUUAAUUUCGCUUCAUGUCUUAAACAAGUAUUUUCAUUACUAUUAUGAGAUUCGAUGAUUAUUCAGACUACCCAUGUUUUAUAUUACAUUCCGCAUUAGCUCAUGCCCCAUGUUGAUUCAACAAGCCAUGUGGUUCGCUCGGUCACAUGCAGCAAGGCUCCGAGUGUCGUCUUACGCCCAGACCAUGGUUCGGGGCGUGACAAAUUUAGUCCAACAUCCAAUGGUUGCACCCGUGGCAUAACAUGCAAUGCUAAAUUAAUGAACAAUGCCCUAAUGAAUUGAAGGCUCUUGGGGGUUGUAAUAAUCCUUGUAAUGUUUUCAAGACCGAUCAAUAUUAUUAUAACUCCGGCAGCUACAACGCUAUGAGUUUUUCAAAGUUUUUUAAGGAGAGUUGUCUAGAUGCUUACAGUUAUCCUAAAGAUGAUCAGACUAGUACUUUAACUUGUCCUCUCCUUGAAUGGAUUAAAAUUAUUGUAAUUUAGCUAUCUACUUUUGUAUAUUAAAUCGAAUAAGGCUAUGUUGUCCUCCUAGCUAGGAGCAUUUAUUACUGCAGGCCGAGGAAUAAUAUGUUUUUAUGCAUGAAGUGAUGUGGAAGUGUGUUAAGUAGUUCCUUACUUCGUAACAAAUCAAAGGAAAACAAAGAUCUUUAUGAUGAUUGAUGGGAUUGUUUGGUUAUUAAUUAAUGUUUUCAUCAAAUAUUUUUUGGUUGGAA